UGAGAAUGUUUGUUUCUGGGUCCUGGAUCAUCAAACCAGGAUAUGUCAAGGAUUGAAUGUCCUGAGCUACUGUAUCAGUGACUAAGGAACCACAGUGGAAUAAAACUAGGAAUCAAUUCCAACAGGAACUCUCAAAACAAAAGAAAUGCAUGAAAAUUAAACAAAACCUGCUGUUGAAGGCUUUUUGGAUCAAUGAUGAAAUCAAGAUGGAAAUCAAAAUAUUUUUGGAAUGACAAAGAUGACACAAGUUACCAAAAUCUCUGGGAUACAGAAAAAGCAGUGCUAAUAGGGAAGUUCAUGGUACUAAAUGCCUACAUCAAAAAGACAGACAGAUCACAAAUUUCCUGGAUAUCAUUAUAAGAAGAUAUAAUAAGAGGUCAUAAUAUCAAAAAUACAACUGUACCUAAAUGUU
Non-coding RNA from Microcebus murinus (gray mouse lemur), 412 nucleotides. The record is from RefSeq and is a predicted model, not a curated record. Lineage: Eukaryota; Metazoa; Chordata; Mammalia; Primates; Cheirogaleidae.